This is a long non-coding RNA of Cucumis melo (muskmelon), 1532 nucleotides long. RefSeq lists it as uncharacterized. The record is from RefSeq and is a predicted model, not a curated record. Lineage: Eukaryota; Viridiplantae; Streptophyta; Magnoliopsida; Cucurbitales; Cucurbitaceae. The transcript has 9 exons.
CCUUCACCGCCAAGCAUUUUGAAGACAAAUUCUUAUCCAACUUCCAUUCUUUUCCUUCUUCAAUUUGCAGAGAACAUUUAAGAGAGAUUUUGGAAGAAGAAGAGGAAUUUUACUAGAAUUUUGAGGUUGAAGAAGAGGAGGAGAACUCAAGCAAAGUGUAUCCGUGGCUGAAUUUUAGUUCAUUCUGUACAUCACUGGUUUUUAAUUCGAUUUGAACUCUUCAAAAAGAAUUAAGAGGGCAGUUGGUUUUCACUCAAAAUCAAGAGGUCUCUUGUUUUUCUUGUAUUUCAGAGUGUACCGGUGGAGUUAGAAUCUCUAUUUGAUAUGGUUGGAAGGCUUAUUCAAUUUACUACAGCUUCCAUGAAGAAAGCGUGAAUCAAAAACGACUAAACAUCAGUUAAAUUUUAGGGACAAGUUAAAGAGGUUGUGUGUGCGCGAUUCUGGAAGUGGUUCUGUUUCGAGGGUUAUCUGAGUUUAUGCACGGGGAAUCAGAUUUAUAGAUCUUCAGGUUGUUGGCAGGCCGAGAAGAAUUAAACCGAGCUUAUAGACCAAUGAUCUAGCCCAAGACGGUAGUCGAGUUUCCGGUGCCUGAUAGACUGCCUUAGUCUGCUGAAGCUCCAUUAUCGAUUGCCAGGAUUUAACUUGAUUAUUAGAUGUUUUAAAAUCUAAAGGCAACAAAAAUGUGGCAUAUUUGUCUGAAAUUGAGACAAUUGGGUAGCCAUAUAACAAUAUGCAAACUCAAAAUCAUCAUCUGUUGCAGCAAAUAACUGAGAGAGAUGACUAUAACAUUAAGGUUAUGGAAUCCAAGUUUGUAUUUGAAGCCAAGUUCAUACAAGGAAACUUAGACACGAUUUUCUAGGAUUCAACACCUGUACUUUCCACCAAACUAUGGUAAAAGUACGGGUAAAAUUCAAAUUUCUUUUGUCGAGGCAAAUCUAGGGAUCGAGGUUUACAUUGAAGUUUUCAAACUGAACAAAGUGGUAAUGGUCGGGCAUUUAGAAGAGAAGGCAAAUGAAAAUUAGGAGGGAUUUUAAAAAACUCUCGACACUUAUCAAUAAGUGUUGGGAGUUCACCCAAACUGCUGACCCAUUAUUGGUAGCGUCGACAAUUCCAGCAACAACUCCCUACACAUCAAGGGAGCAUCAUGAGAUAUUAUAAAACUCAACGCUUUAUAUUAUGCGUUGGGAGAUGCCCUAUCUUUCGAUGCCAUUUCUCCCAACGGUAUGGAGCUAUGUUAGAAGAUCCAAAAUUUCUUAUAGUGGUUGAGUAAAUAAUCGUAUUUGUUGGCUUCGCACCGUGUCUUGGACAAAGAGUAGGUGGUCUAAGAGGGGGUAUGACACCAUCACACCUCGAGACGUAGUUGGUAUAUCACCAAACUGGGUCCAACCGAUCGAUGUGUUUCUUUCACUUUUACUUGUAAAGUUUUGCUUUAACCGAUCGAUGUGUUUCUUUCACUUUUACUUGUUAUUGUUUUGCUUUUUCCAGUUAUUGACUAUAUGCUUUCUGUUUGACAGCUGUGAGUGUUUGGCGAG